UCUGGUUGACCCUGCCAGUAGCAUAUGCUUGUCUCUGAGACUAAGCCAUGCAUGUCUAAGUAUAAAUUAAUUUUUACGGUGAAACUGCGGACGGCUCAUUAAAUCAGUUAUAACCUACUUGAUCGUGUGACUUUAUUCGGAUAACCCUAGUAAUUCUAGAGCUAAUACGUGCUAAAAGCCUUAACUUCCAGCAAUGGGGGAAGAGGUGUAUUUAUUAGAAACUAAACCAAUCAGCUUCGGCUGUUUGAGAUGAUUCAUAAUAACUCGGCAAAUUACGGGAAAAUUCCUGUGAUGAUUCAAACGGAUUUCUGACCUAUCAACUUUAGAUGGCAAAGUAGGGGUUUGCCAUGGUGACAACGGGUGACGGGGAAUUAGGGUUCGAUUCCGGAGAGGGAGCCUGAGAAACGGCUACCACUUCCGAGGAAGGCAGCAGGCGCGCAAAUUACCCAAUGCUAAUUCGGCGAGGUAGUGACAAGAAAUACCAAUGUAGGACCCAACGGGUACUACGUUUGGAAUGAGAACAAUUUAAAAACCUUAACGGGGUACAAUUGGAGGGCAAGUCUGGUGCCAGCAGCCGCGGUAAUUCCAGCUCCAAUAGUGUAUAUUAAAGUUGCUGCGGUUAAAAAGCUCGUAGUUGGAUUACGAAGUGGUGUUUAAAUGUCAUUUUGGUUUGUUUGUCUUUCGGGGCAUUCAGGUCAACUUGGCUUUUACUCACUGUUGUCAUUGUCUUUGCCCAAGGUAUAUGCCUUGUGUGCAUGGCAUUGACCUUCUAUUUUAUGGUAAUGUUGUAUCUUUCGGGGUACAUUCAUUCCAUAUAGUUUACUUUGAAAAAAUUAGGGUGUUUAAAGCAGGCGAAAAGGCUUCGGAAUAUAUUAGCAUGGGAUAAUAGAAUACGAUCUAGGUCGUAAUUUGUUGGUUUCUACGGCUUAGGUAAUGAUUGACAGGGAUAGUUGGGGUCGCUCGUAUUGAGUUGUCAGAGGUGAAAUUCUAGGAUUAACUCAAGACGAACUAAUGCGAAAGCAUUCGGCAAGGAUGUUUUCAUUAAUCAAGAACGAAAGUUGGGCGAUCGAAGAUGAUCAGAUACCGUCGUAGUCUCAACUGUAAACUAUGUCGACCGAGGAUCCGGUAGCGUUACAUGGAUGACCUUCCGGGCACUCUGUGAGAAAUCAUAAGUAUUUGGAUUUCGGGGGGAGUAUGGUCGCAAGGCUGAAACUUAAAGGGAUUGACGGAAGGGCACCACCAGGAGUGGAAUCUGCGGCUUAAUUUGACCCAACACGGGAAAACUUACCAGGUCCGGACACAGUGAGGAUUGACAGAUUGAGAGCUCUUUCUUGAUUUUGUGGGUGGUGGUGCAUGGCCGUUUUUAGUUGGUGGAGUGAUUUGUCUGGUUAAUUCCGUUAACGAACGAGACCUUAACCUAUUAAAUAGCUGCGCGAACCCAAAAAAAG
This 1448-nucleotide ribosomal RNA is filed under the name metagenome. Its description in RNAcentral is "SSU rRNA". It matches the Rfam family "Eukaryotic small subunit ribosomal RNA", at positions 1 to 1378 of the family's 1831-position model. The record is from RNAcentral.